RNAcentral lists this long non-coding RNA (11401 nucleotides) under Phaseolus vulgaris (common bean). RNAcentral describes it as "long non-coding RNA (PVUL_LNC001806)". Lineage: Eukaryota; Viridiplantae; Streptophyta; Magnoliopsida; Fabales; Fabaceae. The record is from RNAcentral.
UAAUAGUUAUUAUAAAUGAGAAUGUUGAUAUAGGUUCUCCUUUUGUUGGUUGUGGUGUUUUUAUUCUUGGUCAUUAUUCAUAUAAUUUUGUUGUUGUUGAAUUAAGGUUCAUGCAUUAGGUGGAAUGAAUUGCAUAACUACAUCAACAAAAAGAUACAAUUUGAGUCUUAAUCAUUCAUUGUCCUCCUUUGUUAAGUGAAUUUCCUCCUCACUUGUAGAAAGUUGUUAUUAGAAUUGGUUAAUCUCUUCAAAAGAAAAAAAAAAAACAUUUUUCCAUCAUCCAUCUUCUCACCGAGAAACUUUAUCACCUGUAACAUCAUCUGCUCCCGUGUAAAAUACACGAUCAUCACAGAUCAAAGAAAAACAACCACAAAACAAAACAAAGGGUAAGCUAGGUAUUUUUAAAACUUAUAAUAUAAAUAUAAUUUUAAAAUCCACAUAAAUCCAUCAUUUCUCAUGCAUUUCACAUAACCAUCAAGUCUUUAUCAAAAAUUUCAAUAUUCAUCUUUCUAAUGUUAGACUUCUACUGACUCAUAACACAUAGACACUUGACUAUACUUUCGAAAGACUCGUGCGUUGACUUAGACUCAAAGAUUUGCACCUGUCAUACUACAUCACUGUGAAAUCCACACAACUAUGCGCAUAAAUAAUCUCAAUAUCAUCUCUCUCCUAGUAUGACAGGGUUAACUCAUAUAACAGGUUAAGUUAGUUAUCUUUCAAACAACUUACCCAUUCAUAUGAAUCUCCUUCGACUCUCACCACUUGAAUAACUUCAUCUAUAUGAUUCCAUUAUCUCAGUAGAGUCAGGAUAUCUCCUUCUAGACGAAUCCCUAGUCAAUGCACAUCCUAAACAAUCUUAACAGGAUAUUUUCUUUCCUAAAAAUACUAUAUCUUGAUUAAAAUUCAUACUCUGAAUAACCUUACAAAAAUCCAACAUCAAAGAGUCAAAUCAUACAUAAUUUUAGAAUUUCCAAAACAUACCACAAUUCAUCUACUAAUCAUAUAAAUGUCUAAUUAAAGAGAUUUUCAAUUAAAUAUACAUGAAAUAAAAGUCUAUAUAAUUUAUAACUAUACAAAAAGAAAUAAACCAACCUUGUAAAAACAAAUAUAUAUAGAAAACAAAUUUCAUAUUUUUUUAAAUUUUUUUUAGAGAGCCUAGCUUGAGCUAGAAUUUGCUAGCUUGAGCUAAAAUCAACCCGAUAGCACCCAAAAUUUUAGCUUGAGCUAGAAUUUGCUAGCUUGAGCUAAACUCAACCCGAAAGCACCCAAAAUUUUAGCUUGAGCUACAAUUUGGUAGUUUGAGCUAAACUCAACCCGAGAGCACCCAGAGUUUUAGCUUGAGCUAGAAUUUGCUAGUCUGAGCUAAACUCAACCCGAGAGCACCCAGAUUUUUUUUAGCUUGAGCUAGAAUUUGCUAGCUUGAGCUAAACACAACCUGAGAGCACCCAUAAAUUUUAGCUUGAGCUAGAACUUGCUAGCUUGAGCGAAAUAUGCAGAAAAAUUCUGCAUAACUUAAUAUGCCUAUUAGAUUAUAAAUCAACAUCUCAUUCAAUUCAUAAAUUAUAAAUCUACACAUUACAUUGACAGUUCCUGUUCAGCAUGAUACAAUCACUCUCAUUGAAUCAUUGAGCUAUUAUGUCCAUCUAUACAUAUAUAUGGUUUCUAAUUCCAAAACCAUUUACAUCAAACAACCAAUUCUCAAUCACAACACUUUCAAUUUCAAUCAAACUACAAUCUACUCAAAACAAGAAAUCUUGCAACAAAAUUUGGAAUUUGUGACCACGUCACACUCACAUUUAAAUCUUCUAGCCUAGGGUUCUAUUGAAAAUUUUAAACUAGCUUCCCUUACCUGGACUUUAGCAGAUGCUCACUAAGAGCUCCAAACCCACCAAAAGCUUAAGGAUACCCUAACCAGCAUCACAGAGUCCUGAUCACAAAUCUAACUAUAUCACUAGGACCUUGAGCUAACAGAGACUAAUUUUGAAGUUAAAAACCUCACAUGCAAACUUAGACUAAAAGACAACCUAACCAGAUCAAAACUAAUUCAAAGGAAAAGGAGCCAAGAAUGAACUUACUCUAUCUAAGAUUUUGAUCAGUCAAUCUUGUAGAGUUCACUGUCAGGAGUCCAAUGAUGGACUCCGAUCGUUGAUUUGAUGAGCGAGGAGGUCGAAAUUUUAGAGAGAAGGCAGAGGAAAGGAAAAUGAGUUUUUAGAGAGAUGAUGGUUCUUUUAAAAUGAAACCUGAAUAACUUAAUUUAUAUUUAUAUAGCCUUUUCACUUUAAUAAUAAAAUAUUCAGGUGCCAUUUUAAUUGUACUAUUUAUACUCUAAGACUAUUUUUCUCGGUCCUUACACAUACUACAUUUGUAGGUAGUUACAUAUGGACCAUAUCCCUAGAUAAUUAUGUAAGAACUAUAUCCAUAUAAUUACACUAUAUCUGUAGCUAAAUCAUCGUUAACUUAUUAUUCAAUCUUCACAAAUAAAUAUCAAACAUCAUCCCAACUUUUAACCAAAGACCAACCAUUUCAUUAGUUAUGAACUCAAAGUAUAGGAAUCAAAGAACUGAAAAAUGAAAAAUAAAAUAAUUGCAUAACAAAAAAUGAAAUCAAUACUAAAUUAGUCAUAAAUGCUUAGAAAGAUACAACUAGCACUGAAGUCAUGAGUGUUCAAUAGAGCCAACAAGGGAGACGACAAAGGUUAAAGAAACAACAUUUAGACGGGAAGGAUCAUUAUAGUUCUCAGUGUUUGGUUUGUGUUUGAAGUUGGAGAUUGACCCUCUUGCCUAGUAGGUGUUGGUGAAGAAGAUGAUGAUUAUGAUGAGGGUGGAGAAGCAUUGGCGAUUGGGUUGGUGUUCAACCAAAACAUUGACAUUACUGAAAAAAAAAGUAAUUAUUUAGGUUUGUCAUCUUUUGACAUGAAUUUGUUAUCCUCAAAUGUUGAACCAUUGCCUUUAUUUUUUUUUUGUCAAUUCCUGAAAUUAGAACACUAAUUACUUUAAUCAUUGACCAUAAACAAAUCUUCAUAUUCACUAAAUGUGCGCUAAUAAUGAAAAAUAAAUAUUAUGGUUAGAUGUACUUAGAUAUUAUGAGAUAUUGUUAGAUAUUACUAUUUAUAUAAUGGGCUUAGCCCAUGUUUCUUUUCCUAUAUAAACAUUAGCCCAUAUGUUUCUUUUCCUAUAUAAACAUAACCUUACACAAGAGAUUUAUCAUAUUCUUUCUUAUUCUUUCUUUUUCUUUAAUAGUUGUUAUUUAAGAGAUAUUUUGUCUCCCUAACUAGAAGCAUCAUUGACGGAGUCAAAAAGAAAAAAAAUAUAACAAAUUUUGUCAAAAAGAUACUGGAAGAAGAAUUUACAUGUUUAAGUAACUUUUCGCUAAAUUACAUUCAACUUACUUUAACCCCUAGGAGAAGUGGACUAUCACACUUGCAAGCAAUCAAUUCAUUAGGAUAAUGUAGACUUUUGAAAAUAAGGACAUAAAUUCCUUCAAGAUGCCUCAUAAGUUCCAAAACAACCUAACCGAAUGUAACAAAAUAUGCAACAUAAUUGAAAAUGUACUUCAAGUUAAAAUCAUCCAAAACCAUUAUGACAUUCACAUGAGUAUAAGAGAAACCUUAGAUUGACAUUCAAUUUGUUUUUACUUUGAAUCUGUUUAGCAAAACAAAUAAAAAACAUAAUCAAAAAAUCUUUUAGUUCCAAAUAAUAUUUGAUAUCGAAAAAAAGACUAUUUGAGAUUUUUAAAAUUUCAAACUUAUUCUAUUUCGAACAAAUUUAGAAAUAUUCACAGUAUAUUCAACAAAAUAUUUACAAAACUUAAUUUGAACAAAUCUAUUUAAGAAAAAAAAUAGAUUUUAGAAAUAUACGAAAUUGAAUACGAAACUCAAAUAAAUUAAGUGGGGAGAGAACAAAUUCAUGUUUUGGUUUUAGGAAACUGUUAUUCUCAAAUUUCAGAAAUGUUGUUUUAAGUUUUAAUUUAAACAUUUAUUAUUCAUUUGUAUUAUUACAUUCCAAAUUACGUUUAAAUAUCUUGUUUAACAAAUAUGUAGCACAAAACUAUACUUAUUUUUAUUUUCAUUCUCUUAAUUUUUAAAAUAUUAAAGUUUAAUAACAUUAAUUUUUUAUGUUAUUUUUAUAAUUACUUGUAUUAUUGCACCCCAAAAUAUAAUUAAAAAUAUUUUUUAAAUUUAUAUAUAAAAUAAACGUAUAUACACAACAAGUUUAUAUUCUUUUAAUUAUUGUUCAUUUUCGUUGCAUUUAAAUCUUUUGUUCCAAUUAAUAAACCAUAAAAUUUUAUUUAAAUCAGUGGACACUUAUAUUGCUAUUUUUUUCUACGGAAGUAUUGUUAUUGUUUAUUCUAACAAUAUAUAUUUUCUAUUAGAGCUUUAAUAAAUAUCUAAAUUAAAUACUAACCAUAUAUAUAUAUAUAUAAAGUUUCAAUAAUUAAAAUGGAUAAUUUUUAAUUUUAUUCAGUUUUAAUUUUUCUCGCGUUUGAUAAAAUUAUUAAUUUUCUAGAUAAAAUGACCUGGGUUUUACAGCAAGAGUGCUGCUGGGGGAAUGAGUGCCCAAAAUUCAAUGGGAAUUUGGAGAGUAGUGGCGCCGAUUGGAAGAAGUCCACGAUUGAAAGUAUCAUAAAAUUGGCCUUUUUAUUGGUAACCUCCUUUUCAUUUUUUUUAUCGAUAAUGAAUAAAUAAAAUUAAAAGAUACUUCAGGGAUAACUAACCUCCUUUUCGUUGUUAAUUUUUUUUUUGUUAUUCUCAUAUUAUAUUUUGAAUUAUAUAAUUUAAAAAUUUGAAAUAUAUUUUUGAAAAAUAGUAUUUCAGAUUUUAUAAUCUAGAAGUCUGAAUUUAAGAUUAACUUUCGAAUAUGCAUUUGAGAAAAGACUUCUAGAUUAUAUAAUCCGAAAGCUAAUCUUAUAUUAGAAAAAACUUUCAGAUUAUGUAAUCCAGAAACAAAUCAUGUCUAUAAAAAAAUAUUAUAAAUUAUGUAAUCCAGAAACUAAUUACGAAUUUGAAAAAAAAAAUUUAGAUUUCAUAAUCCAAAAUAUUAAAGUGAGAAAUUUUAGAAAUACCAAAAAUUUAUGAAGAUGGGAGAAAAACAUAUUAAGCUGCAAGAAGAAAGAGACCUUUCUUUUUCAUGGGCUUCAAUUAGUUUGGGAUUGCUUCCUGCAUUUAAUAAUCUUUUACCAACACCCAAUCAAUUUUUAAUUUCCAAAAUUGCCCUUUAUUAAGUAAUUGAAAAAUCGAAAUUAGAAAAUAAAUUUUAAAAAAACGAGAAUAAAUUUUUGUGUUAUGAAAAUGAAAUUCUAGAAUAAAAUUGAAAAAAAAAUUAAAAUAUCAUUUCAAAACAGUAAUUCUAGAAUAAAAAAAAUGUAUUAAAAAAUAAUAAUUCAGAAACGUAUUAUAAUAAAGGAAUUCUAGAAAUAUAUUCCAGAAAAAAUUCUGAAAACAUAUUCUAGAAAAAAAUUCCAAAAAUUCAAAAAAAUAUUAAAAGAAUUUAAAUUUGAAAAAUAUAUUCAUAGAUAGCAAAUCCAAAAUGUAUUUUGAUUCCGCCUCCCGUCUUACUUAAAAUCUAUUUUUUUUUGUUAUUUUAUAUAAGAUAUAAGAUAUUGGGUGUAGGUUUAAAAUUGGUGCUGGAAGCAGCCCAAUUAAUUUAUGCACGAUGUGCAAUUUUGAUUGUAUUUUUUUUACCCUGAUACUUUGACACUAUAAACACAGUAUACACAUAUACUUAACAAACAGAUAAAUUAAUAUUUUAAUUAUUUUCAUUUUAAUUUUUUUAAUUAAAAUAUUAUAAUAUUAUUAUAAAGGUUGUUGAAUAGUGUUAAUCACUGCACAUGUCAAUAAAACUUUUUCCUAUUUUUUUUACCUUCCCUGAAAUAUGACAGGAAAUAAGAUUGAAUGUUAACCUUUCUUGAUCCAACUCUUUUAACGAUAUUAAAAAAAGAAUUUAAACUAAAAAUAAUAAAUUUAAAGUGAUAAUAAUUUGUUAAGAUGUAUCUGAAACCGUCCAAAAGAGGAACAUACCCUUUUUCGUCUUUUUCUGCAAAUUUCAUUUUCUGCCUUUCUCUCUCUCUAACUCCUUUCUCUACCUUUUCUUUUAAUUUCUAAAUUGUUUUUUCCUUUUCUUCUCACAAAUACAUCAUACCAACUUAAAAAAUAGCAACUAAAAGGUAGCUUGACUAUAAAAUAUUUCUAUCCAACCCUAAUUUCAUUUUAAGGUGAGUUUAUUUUUACCCUAAAAUCUUUCUAUUCUUAUUUUUUCAUAUAUAUAUAUAUAUGAGUAUUUCAAUGUUUUAUUGUCAAUUAAAAAUAUUAUUAUCUCAAUUAUUCAUCUUUUAAUUUAUUUUUUGGUUGUUAAAAAUUUCAUGUAUUUUCAAGUCUCUUUGUUGUUGUUAGUAACACGAAUAAUUGUCAAGGAUUAUUUUGAAUUAUAAGAAAAAUUUUAAUCUUAAUUAUAGAAUGUUAUUGGUAUUGGAAUUAUUGAGAUUUUGUCUUGGUAUAUUUGGAUUAAAUUAGUGUAUAUUGAAUUUCAAUGCUUUUGGUUUGGAAUAGUGAGUUUGAAUUAUAGUAGCUAUAACAUGCAAAAUGUGUAUUAAAUGUGUGCGAAUGUGAAUUUCAAACUCUUUUAAAUGAGUGGAAUAGUUGGUUUUAGUGAUUUCUACACAAUUUUAUAAUUUGAUCAGACUAUGAGAUUUCAGUUAGUGAAUUUCAUCUAUAGUGGGCGAAAAUUUUCUUUCAUACGAAUUUUCAUUAUUGAAUAAUGAUUUACCCAAUAAAUUUAAGGAUUUUGUCCAAUGGAUCUCAACCUGAAAGCAAUAGGAUGAUUUAAAUCUAACUCAACAAAUCUACUUUGUUUUGAAAUGAUAUGUUAUAUUUGAGACAUAAUUUUUUUUUAUAUAAUUGGGAAUGUUUAUGUAUAUCUGAAAUUGAUACACAUGCGUUGAAAUGAGAUUACCAAGCUUGCAUUUGAAUAAUUGUAUGUAAGUGCAUUAAAUUAAGUAUGAUUUGGUGUCUAAGUAUGGUGGGUGGAGGGGUUUAAAAUCUCAAGGUCAGAUUCGUAAGGAGUCGCUGUGGUGGAGGGACCUUAGGAAGGUAUGGUUUUUAGAGGGGUGGGGUAAUGAUUUUGAAGGCAGAGGUCGGUGGGAAGUAGGAGACGGGAAAGAAAUCAGGUUUUGGAAGGAUAAAUGGUUGGAAAACAUCUCUCUGCUACAUAAAUUCCCUAGGCUCUUUUCAAUCUCAUUAGAUACCGAUUGUACUCUUUCACAAGUUGGGUUUUGGAAUAAUAAUGUUUGGACGUGGAAGCUGCGAUGGAGAAGGAAUCUUUUUGAGUGGGAAUCCAAUUUAGUUGUUCUUUUGUUGCAGUUGUUGGAUAACAAAAGGUUAACAAGAGAGGAUGGAGUUAAACCCGAUAAAUGGAUCUGGGGGAAAGUGGGUAACUUGGAUUUUUCUUUGAAUGCAGCUUAUAAGUGUCUCAUGGGGGAGAUGUCUGCAGUGGAUGAUGAUUUAUUCGUGAAUUUUUGGUCUCUAAAGACCUUACCUUCGACACAUUUUAUGGCUUGGAGGGUGAUAUGUAAUGUCAUUCCCAUGAAGGACAAUCUCUCGAGACGCGGCAUAACUUUGUUGAGUGAUCGGUGCCCUUUGUGUGGUGAGGAAGAAGAGUCGGUACGAAAUAUAUUUUUUGAAUGCAGAAAUCUCUUGGAGAAUUUGGGGUAUGUGUCUAGAGUGGCUGGGGUUCACCUCGGUGCUACAUCGUGACCCACAAAUGAAUUUUAGGAUGUUCAAACCUAUAGGCUCGAAACAGGCAGCUACCAGGUGCUGGGGGGGGGUAUUUGGGUAGGUAUUGUGAGUGAAAUUUGGAACCAUAGGAAUAAGGUUGUGUUUGAGAAUGGGCGGGUGGACCUAGUGGAGGUUUUUACUGUGGCACAAAGGAAGAUCUGGUCUUGGGUCACAGUAAAAGAAAAAUUGGCUGUUUUCUCAUAUUCUGACUGGUGUUUGGAACCUCUCUGUUGUAUGAGGUAUUUGAAAGACUGAUUUUUUGUAUUAUUUCACUAACGUUUUGUUCCCUGUCCUGGUAGUCGUGGUGUGGUUUGUGCAGGUCUUAUCGGUAAAUCUUUUCUGGCAAGGUUGAUUUGAGGCUUGGAAAUGUAUUGUUUGUUUGUGCAGGUUGUCUUGGCCUUUUCUUUUUGGCAGAGUAGGAUGGUUGUUCUGAACUGCGAUAAAGGAAGUGACUAUUUGCAUGAUUAUUGACUUGGUGUUGGAAUUUUUAUGGCGUUUAAGCUGAAGCAAAAGGAUAUGUGGUCUUUUUUGGUUAUUGGUGUGGCCAGAUUGGGAAGCUGUUAAGUGUCUUUUGCGGGUUUUUCUGGUGUACGCAUCUUCCUUGUAGGAUCGGGUUGUUGAUGUUAGUAAUUGUUUUUUUUUUGUACAACUCUGCCUGUCACAAAGAUAGGAUUAGUUGUUUAGACGUUAUGUCGUGUUCUGGCUUUGCUGUGUUUGACGCUUGGGUUUGGUACUUCAACCUGUUGCCAAAAACUUUGUUUUAAUAGCUAGAUGUAUUUAGUUGUUGGAUGUAUGUCCUUGAUUGAGAGUAUGACAUAUUUGGUGGGGUGAAGUAACUGUAUUUAGUGGGUUUUUGUAUCUUGUCUGAAUUUGUAUCUUUGAUCUGUAGUGUGAUGUCUGUCGGAUUCCUAGUUGGCAGGGUAUUAGGAAACUUGGUGUCAGGGUUUUGUAUAAGGGUUGAGACACCCUUGAAGUGUCUCAUUUUAUUUUAUUUAUUCUUUGCUGAUAAAAAAAGAGAGUAUGAUUUGGAUUGAUUUGAGGUUAAAUAUUUGAAAUGGAAUGUUGAGUUAGUUUGUAGUAUCAAGUAUAAAAUCUCAUUAUUAAGGCAAAUGGGAUCAUUAUGUUUCCUUUGUGUGAAUAUGAUUGUUUAGCUUAUCUAAAGGAGAUAGUUAGAAAUUUCAAUAUGAUUUUAUGAUUUAAUAUAUUCUUAUGUCCUUAGAUAUUACUCAUAUACCUCUUACCCCACCUCUUCUUACAACUGAUAUGGCAUACAUAACUAUACAAUCCUGUAACAGUAGAAUGUUGUUGUGGCACAAUAAGUUGCAUCAGUUGAAGACUCCCACAAUGACCACAGAUGCAACCCAAACUCUAUAUCAACAUUCUUAGUUGAGGUUGGAAGAGUUUAUAAGGCAUUAUCCUUGUAAACUCACUAGAAAAGUGAAUAUUGAUUGAGUCAUCUAGUGGGUUAGAGACAUAAAGAGGAAUUUUUAAGCCACUCAAUGCAUAAAGACCAUAAACUAACCCAUGUCAUCUAUCUGUUGACAAAGGAAACCAAGCUUUGAUGGUUAGGCAUGAAGUAGAUGAUGGAAAAAGAGAAGAAGCCAUCACUUGGAGAGCUUCAAAAGUAGAUUUUUAGAGGAGUAUUUCCUUGACAAUGUCAAAUAUCCAAAUUUAUUCAUGCAACUGAGCAUGAAAUGUUUAAACACCUAGUUAUUUAUUAAUGUAAUCUUGGGGUUUUGUAUAAGGGUUGAGACACUCCUGAAGUGACUCUUUUUAUUUUAUUUAUAUUUUACUGAUAAAUUUUUUUUUUUAUACACUAAACCAUGUUAGAGAUACAUAAAAUUUACGUAUGCUUGAGACAGGAGAUCAAAGAGGUGGUAAUUCCCAUAUCUACUAGGGAAUUUCCAACUCUAAAUUUAGUACAGAAAACAAAAAAUUUAUUGAGAGUUUGAAGAACAACAUCAAAGUCGUUAGACUUAGUAGACUUUCAGGAAACAAGAAUACAAUUGAUUAAAAAUUCUUUAUUGGAAGCCUUAAUCAACUAGAUAAAUCAAUAUUCAUAAGUAAACCCCGUCAGUUAUAUAAACUAUACCUCACAUAGAUAAAAUGAUUUUAAUUUUCUCUAAUUUUAAAAUAUAUAAUAGAUUAUAUUAUUUCAAGAACAUCAUAUUCAAGUAUUUAUAUAUUAUUAUAUAGAAAAAAUAGUGAAUAUAUGCAUUAAUUUUGUAUUACAUUAUAAUAUGUUUUCUGGUACAAAAUACAUAUCAGAAUUGGAUUAUAUAUAUAUAUUACAAUAGAAACUGGUAACAAGUUGGAUUAUACAAAUUAAAAUUGCCAUCAAUUUGUGUCCUUUUCAAAAUCACGAGAUGAACUAUAUUAAAUGUUCAUGCUGUAGCCACUUGAAUUGUAAAUUGGUUGUUAGGGUGAAUAACACUAAAGGGCAUGAUGCAAUGUUUCUGUAGUCUGCUGCCAUUGACGUUGAUUGUUAAACCAGGACACAAAUUCUUAUAUCAGCAAACCCUCCAACCUUCAAAAUGACAAAAACAGAAUACAAAAAUGGUUUUGUCGACUCAAACCCUAAGCAUAUGUCACAAAGUCAUCAAUGAUAACCUUCACAAACAUACGUAAGUUAAGUUAUUUUGUUCGGUUUUGUUGUUUGUCAAAUCAACAAUGCUGUGGUCGGUACACAUAAUUAUAAUUAUGGACAUAUAUAAAGUUUGCAUAUCUUUUAUUUGAAUGAACAAAUAUAAUGUUAAACAAUGUAAGAAAAGAGAACCCUUCAAGUUUACAAAUUAAUAUUGUAUAAUGCAGUUGCUUUGUUUUUUUAUUUUCAGAAUGGUUUUAGAAUCUGUAUAUAUAUUAGAAGCAACAGUGGAUUAUUAUUACUAUUCAUUGUACAAAAUAUGUGGCAUUAACACUUAUAUCUAAGUCUUUUUUAAUCAAAUCCUAUAUUUUGAUUCUAAUAUUACUUUUCUAAUCAAAUACUUAACAUACUAAGAAAACUACUAUUGUUUCUUUAACAAAAGCCUGAAUCACAGUGCUUUGGAAAGUCUGAUUCUAUAUGCGAAAGUGUGAUAUCAAGUUGCCUAAUUAAUAAGUUAAAUAAUAAUUUUGAUAUUUUUAUUUGUUUUUGUAAUUUUAGUCACUAGAUUUAAAAAAAAUUGGUAAUUAUUAAAUUAUUUUCAAUGAUAAUUAAAUAUGUUUUGUAAUUUAAUUGGACAAAAUAAAAGAAAAAAAACAUUUACAAAAUUAAGGAUUUGUUUAGAAUUAAAGAACUAAAAUUGCAGAAAAAAAGGGAUUAAAAUUAUGUAUAAGAAGUAAAAAAAGAAAAAAAGGCAAUUUAAUCUAAUCAAAAUACAGAUCUAUAAUAAUUUAUCUAACUCUAACCAAUUGACAAAGGUUGAUCUUGAGAUUUAUAUUAAUCCUAGUAAAUUAUUGGAACUGAAAUCACAGUGGCAUGCAUGAGUUAGCCAUGGUAAAAUAAAGGACAAGAGAGAAGUGAGAUAGGAACAGUACAAUGACUUUCUGAAGAUAUGUUGAAAACAUAUGGUGGCAGUGUGAUGCUUGCUUCAUCUUCUUCGUUUUCUAGGAUAGAAAAUGACUCGUGAUCAUUGAUCAAGAAACAAAACUUCC